RNAcentral lists this ribosomal RNA (254 nucleotides) under uncultured bacterium. RNAcentral's name for it is "partial 16S ribosomal RNA". It matches the Rfam family "Bacterial small subunit ribosomal RNA", at positions 524 to 776 of the family's 1533-position model. The record is from RNAcentral.
UACGUAGGCAGCGAGCGUUGUUCGGAGUUACUGGGCGUAAAGGGUGUGUAGGCGGUUGUUUAAGUUUGGUGUGAAAUCUCCCGGCUCAACUGGGAGGGUGCGCCGAAUACUGAAUGACUUGGAGUGCGGGAGAGGAAAGUGGAAUUCCAUGUGUAGCGGUGAAAUGCGUAGAGAUAUGGAGGAACACCUGCGGUGUAGACGGCUUUCUGGACCAUUGUUGACGCUGAGACACGAAAGCGUGGGUAGCAAACAGG